This 192-nucleotide non-coding RNA is filed under the name Palpitomonas bilix. The record is from RNAcentral.
CAGCCAAAUUGCACCCACACUAUGUAUAGAUAAGUAGGGUGGCACACACAACAGCAGUCCAAUUUGAGACGCCCUCCUCUCUCUCUUUUUUCGUUUUUAUUUUGUACAAAUACGAAACAGUGAAAAACACUUACAUACACCUGCUUUUCACUGCUUCGGCAUAUUUAACUGAUCCGUUGCCUUUUCAUUUUC